AACGAACGCUGGCGGCAUGCCUAACACAUGCAAGUCGAACGAGACCUUCGGGUCUAGUGGCGCACGGGUGCGUAACGCGUGGGAACCUGCCUUUAGGUUCGGAAUAACUCAGAGAAAUUUGAGCUAAUACCGGAUGAUGUCUUCGGACCAAAGAUUUAUCGCCUUUAGAUGGGCCCGCGUUGUAUUAGCUAGUUGGUGGGGUAAAGGCAUACCAAGGCGACGAUCCAUAGUUGGUCUGAGAGGAUGAUCAGCCACACUGGGACUGAGACACGGCCCAGACUCCUACGAGAAGCAGCAGUGGGGAAUAUUGGACAAUGGGCGAGAGCCUGAUCCAGCAAUGCCGCGUGAGUGAUGAAGGCCUUAGGAUUGUAAAGCUCUUUUAACCGAGAUGAUAAUGACAGUAUCGGGAGAAUAAGCUCCGGCUAACUACGUG
Molecule: ribosomal RNA, 433 nt
Filed under: uncultured bacterium
Lineage: Bacteria
Description: partial 16S ribosomal RNA
Rfam family: Bacterial small subunit ribosomal RNA
Source: RNAcentral